RNAcentral lists this long non-coding RNA (958 nucleotides) under Felis catus (domestic cat). Its description in RNAcentral is "lncRNA (ENSFCAG00000053498.1)". The record is from RNAcentral. Lineage: Eukaryota; Metazoa; Chordata; Mammalia; Carnivora; Felidae.
ACUAAGAAGUUAAAAAGACAUCCUUAUCACCAGAGACAGAGACUUUAAAGCUGAGAAAGGUGUGGAAACAAACGUUGUUACUUUUUUUUUCUUUUGUAAUUUACUAACUCGGCCCGAAUUCCACUUCAUAAUUCCUUGCUAAUUAAAGCUCCCAAACAUCUAUUUUCUUUAUCCCGUCAAUUACUCACCAAUUUGUUAUCUCUUUGUCCGAAAAGCAUAAAAACUGCUUCGGUGUUUCUUUGGGUCUCAAUUGCAUUAUUAGGCCUCCACGUGCACUGAAUAAAACCUAGUUUUUCCUCCUCCUAUUCACGGGUCUCGUGUAGAUUUAAUUCUUAGUCCAUCUGGAAGACCUCAUCUGAGUUUCAUUCCAGCCAAAUAUUGGAACUGUGGUAUACUGUGUGCUUGUCAUAAUUACAGUCUGUAGGUGAUGAUGUUGUGGAAGAAGGUUCCAAAAUGAAGUGAGCGUUGCAAAGAGUCAUUCAAAACAGGGUCUGGAGGAUACUGAAGCCGCGCCUAUGCACCUGUCCUGUUGCAAUUCUCAGCACGAGGUGAACUUUUGACUUUAAUCAACUACAUCUUGUCAAUUGCACGCCCACCACCUCCUGGAACACAGAUUCCGGUUCCGGUUCUGUCUUCACUCAUAGCUGAGGGGAGCCUUCUGUCUUCCCCCAUUCUGAGUGGGAGAGCCGGGUUUCAGGUUCUCGGUAGACACUGCAGCAUAAUUUUAUUGCACAGUUACUCCAUCAAGGCACUGGAUGUCGCAGUGAAGAGACCAUGCCGUUUAUUGCACAAAGGACUUAUAAAUAUUCUUCUACGGGUGUCGAUUGGGCCACUAAGUAAGAGAAAAAGACUUGGCUUUGGGGUCGAUCAAUUUGGAGAUUGUGGGAAUCAACUCUUAACUGUCUCUUGGUUGCUGUCAGAACUUGUCAGACAAAUCACUCAAACUCUCAGAGCCUGA